RNAcentral lists this unclassified non-coding RNA (339 nucleotides) under soil metagenome. RNAcentral describes it as "partial contains 5.8S ribosomal RNA, internal transcribed spacer 2, and large subunit ribosomal RNA". The stretch from base 1 to 120 matches the Rfam family "5.8S ribosomal RNA", at positions 35 to 154 of the family's 154-position model. The record is from RNAcentral.
GAUGAAGAACGUAGCGAAAUGCGAUACGUAGUGUGAAUUGCAGAAUUCAGUGAAUCAUCGAAUCUUUGAACGCACAUUGCACCUCUCGGUAUUCCGGGAGGUAUGCCUGUUCUAGCGUCAUUUGUACCCUCAAGCUCUGCUUGGUGUUGGGUGUUUGUUCCGCCUCUGUGUGUGAACUCGCCUCAAAACAAUUGGCAGCCGGCGUACUUGUUUCGGAGCGCAGCACAUUUUGCGAUCCAGAUCAACGUACAGCGGCAUCCAAGAAGCCUUAUUUAACGCUCUUGACCUCGGAUCAGGUAGGGAUACCCGCUGAACUUAAGCAUAUCAAUAAGCGGAGGA